AGCUUUUUGUAUUCAAGCUGAGAUUUCAUCAGUAAUCGGUUCACUUAAACUGAUGCAACUGCUCGAAUAAGUGAAGCA
Molecule: microRNA precursor, 78 nt
Filed under: Trichobilharzia regenti
Lineage: Eukaryota; Metazoa; Platyhelminthes; Trematoda; Strigeidida; Schistosomatidae
Description: mir-3492 microRNA precursor family
Rfam family: mir-3492 microRNA precursor family
Source: Rfam by way of RNAcentral